UGGGGAAUAUUGCACAAUGGGCGCAAGCCUGAUGCAGCCAUGCCGCGUGUGUGAAGAAGGCCUUCGGGUUGUAAAGCACUUUCAGCGGGGAGGAAGGCGUUAAGGUUAAUAACCUUGGCGAUUGACGUUACCCGCAGAAGAAGCACCGGCUAACUCCGUGCCAGCAGCCGCGGUAAUACGGAGGGUGCAAGCGUUAAUCGGAAUUACUGGGCGUAAAGCGCACGCAGGCGGUCUGUCAAGUCGGAUGUGAAAUCCCCGGGCUCAACCUGGGAACUGCAUUCGAAACUGGCAGGCUAGAGUCUUGUAGAGGGGGGUAGAAUUCCAGGCGUAGCGGUGAAAUGCGUAGAGAUCUGGAGGAAUACCGGUGGCGAAGGCGGCCCCCUGGACAAAGACUGACGCUCAGGUGCGAAAGCGUGGGGAGCAAACAGG
RNAcentral lists this ribosomal RNA (429 nucleotides) under Chloroflexota bacterium. RNAcentral's name for it is "Chloroflexi bacterium partial 16S ribosomal RNA". It matches the Rfam family "Bacterial small subunit ribosomal RNA", at positions 355 to 776 of the family's 1533-position model. Lineage: Bacteria; Bacillati; Chloroflexota. The record is from RNAcentral.